RNAcentral lists this ribosomal RNA (945 nucleotides) under uncultured archaeon. RNAcentral describes it as "bacterial SSU rRNA". It matches the Rfam family "Archaeal small subunit ribosomal RNA", at positions 1 to 922 of the family's 1478-position model. The record is from RNAcentral.
UUCCGGUUGAUCCUGCCGGACCCCACUGCUAUCGGGAUGGGACUAAGACAUGCUAGUCGAGCGUCUCCAAGCUAUGGAAGAGACGCGGCACACAGCUCAGUAACACGUGGCUAACCUGCCCUUGGGACAAGGACAACUCCGGGAAACUGGGGCUAAUCCCUGAUAGGUGAGAACUCCUGGAAUGGAUUCUCGCUGAAAGGACGUUUAGACCAUGCUUCUAGGCGUCGCCCAAGGAGGGGGCCGCGACCGAUCAGGUUGUUGGUGAGGUAACGGCUCACCAAGCCUUUAACCGGUACGGGCCGUGAGAGCGGAAGCCCGGAGAUGGGCACUGAGACAAGGGCCCAGGCCCUACGGGGCGCAGCAGUCGCGAAAACUCCGCAAUACACGAAAGUGUGACGGGGCUAUCCCGAGUGCCAUCCGCUGAGGAUGGCUUUUCCCCAGUGUAUAAAGCUGGGGGAAUAAGGAGAGGGCAAGCCUGGUGUCAGCCGCCGCGGUAAUACCAGCUCUCCGAGUGGUGGGGAUGUUUAUUGGGCCUAAAGCAUUCGUAGCCUGCUUGGCAAGUCCUCCGUUAAAUCCAACGAUUCAAUCGUUGGGCUGCGGGGGAUACUGUCCAGCUAGGGGGCGGGAGAGGCCGACGGUAUCCCCGGGGUAGGGGUGAAAUCCUAUAAUCCCGGGAGGACCACCAGUGGCGAAGGCUGUCGGCUAGAACGCGCUCGACGGUGAGGGAUGAAAGCUGGGGGAGCGAACCGGAUUAGAUACCCGGGUAGUCCCAGCUGUAAACGAUGCAGGCUAGGUGUUGGCGCGGCUACGUGCCGCUCCAGUGCCGCAGGGAAGCCGUUAAGCCUGCCGCCUGGGAAGUACGGCCGCAGGCUGAAACUUAAAGGAAUUGGCGGGGGGAGCACCACAAGGUGGUGAAGCUUGCGGUUUAAUUGGAGUCACGCCGGA